Non-coding RNA from Arachis ipaensis, 536 nucleotides. Lineage: Eukaryota; Viridiplantae; Streptophyta; Magnoliopsida; Fabales; Fabaceae. The record is from RefSeq and is a predicted model, not a curated record.
UUUUUCUCUAGAGAGUUUGAUGAUGGAGAUAUAGAUGAGGAGAUCGAUCCUGCAUUACAGGAAAAACUUGACAGGGAAGUGGAAGAUUUCGCCCGCAUAUUAAAUUCUGACUGGCCAGAGAGGAUGCAGGAACUGUUGUCAUUGGGGCAAGAAAGAAAAGCAAUGCCUUUUACAUCCAAUGGAAACAGUUUUUUAAGACGAAAUGCUUAGGACUUGACCUCAUGAUACUGUCACACAAACAAGAAGGAAUCAGCGGAAAAUGGAUCCUUACAAGCCCCCACACAAAUGGCCUGUGGCUUGAACAAUUUUGAGAGGUGCUGACAAGCCUUAGGAAAGUGCUACAUGUCAGUUAUUUAUUUGUUUUUCUAAUUCACUGUUCAAUUUUAUUCAUUAUUGGUCCUUGGCCCCAGGCACAAUUUGAUGCUGGAGGCUGCCUCUUGUGCCAAUAGAAAAUAAAUAGUAGGAUGGGCUUGUAUGUAAUAAUGUUGUAUCUUUGUGCAUUGAUUGCUUGAGUUUUGAAAGAAGUUUCUUACUCU